GCCAACCGCCGUUAAACCCCACCGAAGAAAAAUAAGAAACUGCUUAGCGAUUUCGAUGCAUGCCUCGGAGCUCGAUAUCAAACGCAACAUCACUAAUCAAAUGUAGCGAAAAGCUUAAAUUGCUAGCAGCAAAAUAAGACAAACCUGUUGUGUAUAGAAUAGCACAAAAUACUUCGUUGGUUUUACCCGCAACCCUUCUGGUGGGAUACAAAACACACAGAGAAAAUGGCGGAACUUCAGAAGGAGGCAGGACUGCCCGAAAUCAUUCGGGAGAACGGAGACGAAGAGGAGCCGGCUAAUUCAAAGGCAGAGGAGAUGGACACCUCAGAAGACCUGCAAGAUGACAACCUGAUCAAGCGGGAACACUUACACAGUUCUAAUAAUGAGCUGCAAGAUGGACAUUUGGCAGUUAGGAGGAAUGUAAUAUUAGAACAAACAAAAUUCAACCAAAGACAACAAGAAGCAGGAGAGACAGCUGAUGAUUUUAUCUCUGCACUUCAUUGUUUGUCAGAACAUUGUGGUUAUGGAGCUCUGCUCAGUGAGAAAAUAAGAAACAGGCUUGUCAUGGGCUUACGUGACAGAAGACUGUCUGAGCAAUUACAAAUGGACCCAGAAAUAACACUGGAUGACGCUGUCACACGCAUUCGUCAAAAGCAACAGGACCUGCCAGAGAAUACCUUUAAAGCUACCAGCAAUGCUGCAAAUGUAGAGGAUGUGCUUUCACAUAGCAAACAGCAAUGCCCAGCCAAUUCCCAGUGCCAAUCAGAGAAGAAUCAAAACUCAGAAAGACCACAACAACCCCAAACAACGCAGGAGAAUGAAGAGGAGCCUCUAGAUACUGAUGACUUCAUUGAGGAUUUCAGACCUGGAGGAGAAAAGCCUCACUACUGCGCCUACUGCGGUCAGAACUUUCAAAAAGUAAGGGAUCUUAUAAGACACCAUCAAACACAUACAGGAGUGAAAGAAAUGUUCUGCCCUGAUUGUGGGAAAGCUUUUACCCGCUCUGAUAAUCUGAAAAGGCACCAGAGGACACAUAAGAAAGGGGGGGAUUGUCUUUACUGUGAUAAAAGCUUUUCUGAACCGGGAGAACUAAAAAUACACAUGGAAGUACAUAGUCAAGAAAGGCCAUACCUUUGCCCUGACUGUGGGAAGCAAUUCAAACAGUUAUGGGUGUUGAAAAAUCACCAGCUAAAACAUACAGAGAAGAUCUCACCACAGGAAAGGCAUCACUACUGCUCCGACUGUGGAAAGAGCUUUACACGAAGGCAUAGUCUUAGAAGACAUCAGCAAGAAACGCAUACAGAUGAAAAGCCGUACCACUGCUCUAAUUGCGACAAAAGUUUUGCGGGACGUGAGAGACUUAAAAAACAUCAACUAACACACAAGGAAAAGAAACAUAAACAUUACCGCUGUUCAAGGUGUGAUAAAAGAUUUCCUGACAUGGCAAAACUAAGAUCACACCUUCCAGUACAUUCUGUAGACCUGGCACUCCACUGCUCGGACUGUGGAAAGUGUUUCUUAAACAAGACAAAGUUUGAAAGACACACACGAAUACACACUGCAAGUGGAAAAAAGCCAUUCCUCUGCACUGACUGCGGGGAUGGUUUUACAACUUUACGACGGUUGGAAGAGCACCAGCGAACACACACCGGAGAGAAACCGUACCACUGCACUGAAUGCGGGAAGCGUUUUGCACGUGAAUGGACAUUAAAGAGUCACAAGCAAGUGCACAAGUUAAAACACUCUGGAGAAAGAGCUGCCUAUCCUUGCUCUGAAUGUGGAAAGUCCUUCUCCCGUUCACGUGAUGUGAUGACUCAUGUGAGAAGGGUGCAUAAUAAAGAGAGACCUUUCCAGUGCUUCUGCUGUGAAAAACGUUUCUUCCAAAAGAACUUCCUUACAGUACACAUGAGAAUUCACACUGGAGAGAAACCGUACCAGUGCUCAGACUGUGGACAAAGCUUCUCCCAAAUUGGCGACCGAAAACGGCACCAGAAGAGGCAACACUCUGGAGAGGAGACUUGACCUCUAUACAACAGUGUGGAUGGCCCCCUAAUUUGGGAAAAAGUCGAUGACUCCGCCCUCCUCGUGAACUGGAAACCGAUGAGUGGUCGCCAUAUGUAGGAGAUUGCCUCCUUUGUCAGAGGAACAUCAGGGGAGAAUCUCAAUUGCAUAUUCGCAUCCCCUCUCCUCCUUCUCAAAACCCAUUGGAGGAGAAGGUCAUAGGGGAGGGACCUCUGGCUUUCUCAUCCAAUGGGUUUGAGAAGAGAGGAGAGGGAACACGAGGAGUACUCAAUUGACAUUCUCCCCCUGUGUAUCCUACAGGCUCCCGAUCACAAAACAAAUAUUUUAUCUAUAAAAUGUCUGGAACAACCAGCUAAACUUGUUUUUACCACUUUACACAUAUUUUGGGAUUCCUCCUCUGUAAGCAUAAUUUGCUUGAUGACGCGCAAGUGGAGUAGGAGAGUAAUUUCAUACAUGCUAUGGUUUGUUUUCACGUUUCCUUUCACUGAUUACUUUUGAUCUUUUUCAAAAGGAGGCGAGGAGAGUUUGCGAAACCAAUUGAGAAUCUCCCACAGAGACGCUCAAUAAGAAAGGACUACAACAGUAAAACAAACAUACGAUAUUGUCAUAGCAUCAGUCUUUAUUGUAGUUUUUUUUGUCAACUUUGCCAAACAAUUAUUUGAAUAUUUUGUAUCAAAAGUUAACUAUUUUUAUACAUUUUUAUUUUAUCACCGUCGUAGUUUCCACCCGGCAAAUUUGUAUUUGUUAAUCCUCCCCUGCACAAAGCAUCCCAUAAGGCCUGGCGGGUAGGGGCGUUGGGCCAGUAACCCGAAAGGUUGCUGGAUCGAAUCCCCGAGCUGACAAGGUAAAAAUCUGUCGUUCUGCCCCUGAGCAAAGCAGUUAACCUACUGUUCCCAGGGGCGACGAAGACAUGGAUGUCGAUUUAAAGCAGCCCUCCGCACUGCUCUAAUUCAGAGGGGUUGGGUUAAAUGCGGAAGUCACAUUUCAGUUGAAUGCAUUCAGUUGUACAACUGACUAGGUAUUCCCCUUUCCCUAUGGCCUGACUCCUGUGUGCACUUGCAUGUGGGUUUUGACAUGAUUGGCUUAUCUGAAUUGUGCCGCGCAGACAUCACACCAGAGAGAACAGUCUAUGACUAGGGUGGCUGGAGUCUUUGGCAAUUUCUAGGGCUUUCUCUGACACCACCUGGUAUAGAGGUCCUGGAUGACAGGAAGCUUGGCCCCAGAGAUUUACUGGGCUGUACGCACUACCCUCUAGAGCACCUUGCCGUCGGAGGCCGAGCAGUUGCCAUACCAGGUGGUGAUGCAACCAGUCAGGAUGCUCUCGUUGGUGCAUUCCCGCCACCUACUGUGCUGGAGUGUGGGCCAGAGACACUGCUAGCAGUCGCAAUGGGCGCGGUUUGUAGUAAAUGAUUUGUUGUGGGUGCGGCAUGUAAUAACCGUAGUCUGCAGAUAUACAUUAUUGAGGCGUUUGGGUAGCCAGGCAAUCCAUAUCAAAGAUGAUCUAUUAUAUUGACAAGAAAACUGAGUUGACUGUUGAUUCAAUGAUUUUUAUUUUAUUUAUUUAUUUCACCUUUAUUUAACCAGGUAGGCAAGUUGAGAACAAGUUCUCAUUUACAAUUGCGACCUGGAUUGAGGCAGGUGAGAUCAGGUGGGACCAUUCCAAUGAGACAGGGGGGUCACCAUUGAGACCAGGGUCUCAUUCUCAAGGGAGCCCUGUGAACAUGAACACACAAUUCAGUACAACAUAAAACAAAAUAACAACAUCAACACAAUACAACAAAUACAACAAGAUUAAUCAAAACAAACACAAUGAUCACAUCUCCCUCAAAAUUUAUCUAAACUGUCCAGCGAGUCCAGCUUCAAGGUGGCCUGAAGGCUAUUCCGCCCUAUGGGAUUCCCAAUCACGGCCGGUUGUGAUACAGCCUGGAAUCGAACCAGGGUCUGUAAUGAUGCCUCUUGCCCUGAGAUGCAGUGCCUUAGACUACUGUGCCAUUCGGGAGCCCUCUGCUGCAUAAAUAAUGUAAUAGGCCAGGGCGAUAUGUAUACUGUAGCUAAUAAAGUAAUACUAAGUGUAUGUUUUGAGGUAAGCUGUUAGUAGCCCAUGUGCCUCAGUGUAAUAAUUUGGUCUGUUUUCACAUCUUAAUUUCGCCUAGUGUUCUGAUUUGGUGAUGCACAUGUAACCUAUAACCUAUUUUUGCAAAAUGUAAUCAUUGAAUAUUGUAAGAGCUUUCAUUGUCUGCUUAUAUAGCCCCUUCUGACUUGAUGUACAGGCAGAACACUGUAAGAACGGCCCAUGUUCUGAAUUCUGUCACUGUACAUUUCAAAAGCGCUGAACAAAUAGUUACAUUGACAACGUCCGUCUUAGCUCGCUCAACGUCUUAAUCAAAAUGACGGAUUGCCUCUUAUCCGCUUGUCUUUCCCUUAUGCCAUAGUUUCUACAUCGUAAUUGUCAGUAGAAACCACAUUUGUUAAAGCAAGUCAGUCAUAUCACCUGUUUUUUCUAAAGGCAGUAAAUGAGACUGAAUUAUAUGUUUCCCUGCCAGACAAGGCUCUGCUGAUAGCCAGGUGUAGCAGUGGUGUAGUGCAAUUCAUGUAUUGUUUAAUGUUGUGUAGUGGCUUAGCUGGCAUGCAUCCCACUUUCUUUCUUUUUUUUUUUUUCUUUUUUGGGGGCACACCAAGAUUUACAUGCUAAAAUUGCCACUGCCCAUAUCAAUAAAGCCACACUGCGGUUUUCCUGCUGUUCAAUUUUUUUUUUCAACCCAAAUAAAUGCCUGUAUUAUUCAAUCAUAACUCAAAAUAUAAUACUGUAUCAGUC
Oncorhynchus nerka (sockeye salmon) is the source of this 4837-nucleotide long non-coding RNA. RefSeq lists it as uncharacterized. NCBI's taxonomy places the organism in Eukaryota, Metazoa, Chordata, Actinopteri, Salmoniformes, Salmonidae. The record is from RefSeq and is a predicted model, not a curated record. The transcript has 2 exons.